CCUAAGAGAUACGUAUUAUGUGCAGUGCUCACACAGAUUGUCUGAUGAAGAACGAGCAAAAGCGCGUCUGCGAAGCUGACAAAAGUCCCCUUCGUCUAGAGGCCUAGGACACCGCCCUUUCACGGCGGUAACAGGGGUUCGAAUCCCCUAGGGGACGCCAAUGCGCGGUAUGAGUGAAAGGCGUACCACUUAUCUGACGAGAGUCAGAGAAUAACUAAGCUAAUUCAAACGAGUUAUCUUACUUAUUAUGCUCUUUAACAAUCUGGAACAAGCUGAAAAAUUGAAAACAAAUCAAUAUAUCACCGAGGUAUAUUGGUGAGUCUCUCAAAAUCUCAAACCUUAAAGUUUGUCACACAAAGUUUAUCUUUGAAAAAGACACUUUCGGGUUGUGA
This 392-nucleotide unclassified non-coding RNA is filed under the name Proteus mirabilis. RNAcentral describes it as "partial 16S-23S ribosomal RNA intergenic spacer". The stretch from base 85 to 157 matches the Rfam family "tRNA". The record is from RNAcentral. Lineage: Bacteria; Pseudomonadati; Pseudomonadota; Gammaproteobacteria; Enterobacterales; Morganellaceae.